This 72-nucleotide transfer RNA is filed under the name Camelus bactrianus (Bactrian camel). It matches the Rfam family "tRNA". Rfam says of the family: Transfer RNA (tRNA) molecules are approximately 80 nucleotides in length. Their secondary structure includes four short double-helical elements and three loops (D, anti-codon, and T loops). RNAcentral also lists the same sequence under 2 other names. Lineage: Eukaryota; Metazoa; Chordata; Mammalia; Artiodactyla; Camelidae. The record is from Rfam by way of RNAcentral.
GAGGGUGUAGCUCAGUGGUAGAGUGCGUGCCUAGCAGGCACAAGGUCCUGGGUUCAAUCCCAUGCACCUCCA